This 497-nucleotide ribosomal RNA is filed under the name uncultured bacterium. RNAcentral's name for it is "partial 16S ribosomal RNA". It matches the Rfam family "Bacterial small subunit ribosomal RNA", at positions 28 to 507 of the family's 1533-position model. The record is from RNAcentral.
GAUGAACGCUGGCGGCGUGCCUAACACAUGCAAGUCGAACGGAAAGACGAGGAACUUUCUUUCUUGACGUUCGCGGCGCGGGGGUGUGAAACAUGUGUGGGAAACACCUAGAUGACGGGGAAAACCUCGUGAAACCGGUGCCUAUACCGGAUAAUAUUCCGAAGCGCAAGGUUGGGUAGUUAAAGACGGCUUUGCUACCACUUAUAGAUGAUGGUGUGCUGUAUUAGCUAGUUGGUAAGGUAACGGAUUACCAAGGCAACGAUACGUAGCAGAGCUGAGAGGGUGAUCGGCCACACUGGAACUGAGACACGGUCCAGACUCCUACGGUAGGCAGCAGUAGGGAAUCUUACACAAUGGGCGAAAGCCUGACGCAGCAACGCCGCGUGUGUGAUGAAGGUCUUCGGAUCGUAAAACUCUUUUAUCAGGGAAGAACAAACUUAUAAUUAAACGUUCACUUAUUGACGGUACCCACACAAAAAGCACCGGCUAACUACGUG